UACGGAGGGUGCAAGCAUUAAUCGGAAUUAUUGGGCGUAAAGGGCGCGUAGGCGGACUCGUAAGUCAGAUGUGAAAUUUCGAGGCUCAACUUCGAAGCUGCAUUUGAAACUACGAGACUUGAGGAUAGACGGAGAAAACGGAAUUCCACAUGUAGCGGUGAAAUGCGUGGAUAUGUGGAAGAACACCGGUGGCGAAAGCGGUUUUCUAGUUUAUUCCUGACGCUGAGGCGCGAGAGCGAGGGUAGCAAACAGG
RNAcentral lists this unclassified non-coding RNA (253 nucleotides) under uncultured Chlamydiales bacterium. RNAcentral's name for it is "contains 16S-23S intergenic spacer region". It matches the Rfam family "Bacterial small subunit ribosomal RNA", at positions 524 to 776 of the family's 1533-position model. Lineage: Bacteria; Pseudomonadati; Chlamydiota; Chlamydiia; Chlamydiales. The record is from RNAcentral.